GAGGGUAUAGCUCAAUGGUAGAGCACAUGAUUAGCAUGCACAAGGUCCUGGGUUCAACCCUUAGUAUCUCCA
This 72-nucleotide transfer RNA is filed under the name Camelus bactrianus (Bactrian camel). It matches the Rfam family "tRNA". From Rfam's summary of the family: Transfer RNA (tRNA) molecules are approximately 80 nucleotides in length. Their secondary structure includes four short double-helical elements and three loops (D, anti-codon, and T loops). Further hydrogen bonds mediate the characteristic L-shaped molecular structure. tRNAs have two regions of fundamental functional importance: the anti-codon, which is responsible for specific mRNA codon recognition, and the 3' end, to which the tRNAs corresponding amino acid is attached (by aminoacyl-tRNA synthetases). tRNAs cope with the degeneracy of the genetic code in two manners: having more than one tRNA (with a specific anti-codon) for a particular amino acid; and 'wobble' base-pairing, i.e. permitting non-standard base-pairing at the 3rd anti-codon position. The record is from Rfam by way of RNAcentral. Lineage: Eukaryota; Metazoa; Chordata; Mammalia; Artiodactyla; Camelidae. RNAcentral also lists the same sequence under 3 other names.